This is a long non-coding RNA of Vitis riparia (riverbank grape), 2933 nucleotides long. RefSeq lists it as uncharacterized. The transcript has 2 exons. Lineage: Eukaryota; Viridiplantae; Streptophyta; Magnoliopsida; Vitales; Vitaceae. The record is from RefSeq and is a predicted model, not a curated record.
UUCUCAUAUUAUCUUUACAUGGUAUCAGAGCCCUCAUUCUAAUUUUUUGAUCAAUCAUGACUUCUUCUCAAAUGAUCCCUUCAAAUUCAAUCUCUUUUUCUGCUCAUCAUACCUUCUCUGUCAAGCUUACUCUAAGAAAUUAUCUUGCUUGGAAAACUUAAUUUAAUCCUUUUCUUAAUUACCAAAAUCUGAUUGGGUUUAUUGAUGGUUCAACUAUUGCUCCAUUGAAAACAAUUAAAGAUUCUUCUACUCCUCCUGCUGAGAUUCCAAAUCCAGAAUAUGAAACAUGGUAUAAAAAGGAUCAGAUGCUUCAUUCCUGGAUCCUUUCUUCUCUUUCAGAAGAGAUAUUUUCUUAUGUUAUUGGGUUAUCUUCAUCUUAUGAAGUAUGGUAGGCUCUCUCUCAAGCUUUUGGUUUAGUUUCUCAAAACCGACAACUGCAAUUGCACAUUGAACUCCAAGAAUUGAAGAAAAACGAUCUCUCUGUCUCAGCAUAUUUGCAAUGUGCUAAAGCUCUAGCUGAUGAGCUAAAUGCGGCAGGUCGUCCUUUUGCCCCAGCAGAAUUUAAUGUAAUAAUUUAUCGCAAUAUUGGCAGUGACUAUCAUGCCAUUAUCACUGCCUUAAAUCUUCGUUCUGAACCAGUGUCAUUUCAUGAACUCCAUGGUCAACUUAUUGCUCAUGAAAUUUUACUUAAGAGCUCUACUGAUCUUCCUCAAGCAAACAUGGUGACUUGUCAGCCUAAUUCUGCUCCAUUGCUUCCCACUCCAUCUCAGAAUAAUAAUCACAAGAAAUCUUCGAAUUGGAAUGGAAAUCGACCCCGUGGUCCUUGCCAAAUCUGUGGCUAUAGAAACCAUACCGCUGAUUGUCGUCGUCGUUGAUAUUCUCAUUACAACUCUCACAACCAAAAUGCAACUCCUCAUGCUAAUUACUCUUCGGCUGGUCAUUCUCAAAAUAAUUGUGCAAGUUCUCAAGUUCCUGUUGCCAACUACACUCAUGGAGGUUCCACUAUGCCAUGGUAUCCUGACACAGCAGCGAACUAUCACAUCACCCCUGAUUUAGCCAAUCUCAGCAUUGCUCAUGACUAUAACGGACAUGAACAACUCCAUGUUGGUAAUGGACAAGGAUCAGGUGUCCAAGAAAAUCCUCCUACAGGGCCCAAGUGAAGAUGGAGUGUACACUUUUCGCCCUAAUGGCAAGCAAGCAUUUACAACUGAAGCGCCAAACCAUAUGUUGAAUGGAGUGAUGCAAUGCAAAGUGAAAUUAAUGCCUUGCUUCAGAAUCACACAUGGGUUCUUGUUCCUCGACCUCCAGCUGCCAAUAUCAUUGGCAGUAAAUGGGUUUAUCGAAUUAAAAGGAAAUCUAAUGGGGAGAUAGAUCGGUUUAAGGCUCGACUCGUUGCGAAGGGUUACUCGCAGCAGCCUGGUAUUGACUACACUGAGACCUUUAGUCCUGUGGUUAAAGCUACUACAAUUCGGACUAUUUUAUCAAUUGCUACUUCUUCACAUUGGUCAAUCCGCCAACUUGAUAUCUCAAAUGCUUUUUUACAUGGUUUUAUUGAUUCAGAUAUUUAUAUAGAGCAGCCCAUUGGCUUUCAAGACUCUUCACAUCCAGACUAUGUGUGUAAGUUGUCUAAGUCGUUGUAUGGUCUCAAAUAGGCCCCUCGGGCCUGGUUUCACAAACUCACUUCAUUUAUGCAGGACCUUGGUUUCAAGCUUCAAAGGUUGAUUCUUCUUUGUUUAUUCUUCAUCAAGGUGCUCUUAAAUUCUAUGUUCUAAUUUAUGUGGAUGAUAUCCUCCUUACUUGCUCUGAUUCUACAAAACUGGAUUGGUUUUUAAGUAAGAUCAAAUCAACCUUUCCAGUUCGAGACCUUGGAUCUCUUCAUUUCUUCUUGGGUAUUGAGGCACAAUUUUCGGUUGAUGGUCUUCUCAUCACCCAACGAAAGUACAUUACUGAUCUGUUGGCCAAUUCCAAUAUGUUUGACUGCAAGCCUUGUCAUACACCUAUGUCGACUAGCCCUCCACUUUCCAAACUCUCUAGUGAUCCUUUGUCAAAUGCAGAGCAAUAUCGUUAAGUGGUUGGAUCCUUGCAUUACAUUACUCUGACCAGACCUGAUAUCUCAUUCUCGGUUAACAAAAUUAUCUCAAUUUAUGCAUCAGCCCACUCAAGAGCAUUAGACAAGAGUUAAGAGGUUGUUGCGUUAUCUUAAGGCUACUGUUGGUUUCGGUUUGUUCUUCUCCACGCAUUCCACUCUUGAUUUGCAAUGCUUCACUGACAGUGAUUGGGGUGGUUGCCCCAAUAAUCGUCGAUCAACAAAUGGUUAUGCAGUUUAUCUAGUCAAAAAUCUUAUUUCAUGGACUUCGAAGAAACAACCAACCAUUGCCCGGUCUUCCAUUGAGAGUGAAUAUCGUGCUCUUGCUAACUCUACUACUGAAAUUAUGUGGCUUCGAUCACUUCUCUAUGAACUUGGCUUCUCUUCCUCAAAUCCAGCUACAUUGUGGUGAGAUAAUGUGGAAGCUAUUUAUCUAUGUUCGAAUCCUGUCUUUCAUGCCCGAACAAAACAUAUCGAACUUGACUAUCAUUUCAUUUGAGAACAAGUCCAACAACGCAACAUUCAGGUUUGUUUUAUUUCUUCAGAUGACCAGAUUGCUGAUAUUCUUACCAAAUCACUUGCUCAGCAUCUAUUUGUUAAGCACCGAGACAAGCUUCGGCUUUGUUCUUCUCCGCCUUCAGCUUGACGGGGGGUGUUAGAGCAACAACCAGAUAUAGUUUGUUUUAUUUGUAUCUAUCUUAUUGUUGUAACUAUCAUCCUUUAAUCAUGUAAGUAGUUAGCUGAUUUUAUGCUAUUUCAAACUCUGUAAUUCAACUAUAUAAAGAUGCUUUUGUAUUCAUUAUCAAAGAGCAAUAUAAUACAAACAUUCAUUCUCAUAUUAUCUUUA